This 500-nucleotide ribosomal RNA is filed under the name uncultured bacterium. Its description in RNAcentral is "partial 16S ribosomal RNA". It matches the Rfam family "Bacterial small subunit ribosomal RNA", at positions 899 to 1397 of the family's 1533-position model. The record is from RNAcentral.
ACUCAAAGGAAUUGACGGGGGCCCGCACAAGCGGUGGAGCAUGUGGUUUAAUUCGACGCAACGCGAAGAACCUUACCAGGGCUUGACAUCCCUUGAUCGGUGCAGAAAUGCAUCUUCCAUAGCAAUAUGGCAGGGUGACAGGUGCUGCAUGGCUGUCGUCAGCUCGUGUCGUGAGAUGUUGGGUUAAGUCCCGCAACGAGCGCAACCCUCGUCGAGUGUUGCCAUCAUUAAGUUGGGCACUCACUCGAGACCGCCGUUGAUAAGACGGAGGAAGGUGGGGAUGACGUCAAGUCAGCAUGGCCCUUACGUCCUGGGCUACACACGUGCUACAAUGGCCGGAACAACGGGCAGCCAGACCGCGAGGUCGAGCGAAUCCCAUAAAGCCGGUCUCAGUUCGGAUUGCAGGCUGCAACUCGCCUGCAUGAAGUCGGAAUCGCUAGUAACCGCAGAUCAGCUACGCUGCGGUGAAUACGUUCCCGGGCCUUGCACACACCGCCCGU